UUAUGCUGAGAAGCAGGUGGAGGAUCAGAGCCACGCUCCUCGCUGUCUCUUCCCCUUUGCCAAGCAUUUGUCCUCCGCCAACUCCUAAUCCUCGAAGGGGGUUUGAUCUGGUGCCGAGGAGGAGGAGGACAGAGGGAUCGCUGCUAUGCAUGUUCUUGCUGAUGUGGUCUGUGCGUGUGAAGAUGGCUACUGUUUAGAACGAUCCCAAAUUUUAGCUCUCAGAUGACUGUUUCCCAAGUCAGGUCAGGUUGCUCUUAUUCUUAGCAUCUUUCUGACGGGAGAAGUGACUGGCUCAUCCUGAUCAAGGUUUUUCCUCUUAGCAUUUUUCUUACUAGGAGAUCAUAAAGGAGAUGGGCGAAUUUCAUGAUCACGACAACUUUAGGAGCCAAGGCACAGGGUUGACUCAAGAAUGAAGAAUGAAGAAUAAUUUGUAAAUGUUGUGAGGCUUCGUAAUAUUGACAUUUUACUUCUGUUUAUAUAUAUGAUUUUGUAUGAUAUGUGUGACUUUGUGAUAUUGAAUGAAGAUAUUCGAUCUAUUGUGUCUAUGAUAUAUUGUGUAUGGAUUUUGA
Long non-coding RNA from Phragmites australis (common reed), 569 nucleotides. RefSeq lists it as uncharacterized. NCBI's taxonomy places the organism in Eukaryota, Viridiplantae, Streptophyta, Magnoliopsida, Poales, Poaceae. The record is from RefSeq and is a predicted model, not a curated record. The transcript is spliced from 4 exons.